This 256-nucleotide ribosomal RNA is filed under the name uncultured bacterium. RNAcentral describes it as "partial 16S ribosomal RNA". It matches the Rfam family "Bacterial small subunit ribosomal RNA", at positions 333 to 585 of the family's 1533-position model. The record is from RNAcentral.
CUUCACCUACGGGAGGCAGCAGUGAGGAAUAUCGGUCAAUGGGCGGAAGCCUGAACCAGCCAAGUCGCGUGAGGGAAUAAGGCCCUACGGGUCGUAAACCUCUUUUGCCGGGGAGCAAGGGCGGGGACGUGUCCCGGCCCGGAGAGUACCCGGAGAAAAAGCAUCGGCUAACUCCGUGCCAGCAGCCGCGGUAAUACGGAGGAUGCGAGCGUUAUCCGGAUUUAUUGGGUUUAAAGGGUCGGUAGCCGGCUCUUUA